GCACCAGUGGCGGAAUUGGCAGACGCGCAGCGUUCAGGUCGCUGUUUGAUUUUUCAAGUGCGAGUUCGAAUCUCGCCUGGUGCA
This 84-nucleotide transfer RNA is filed under the name Fructilactobacillus lindneri. RNAcentral's name for it is "Lactobacillus lindneri tRNA-Leu". It matches the Rfam family "tRNA". Rfam says of the family: Transfer RNA (tRNA) molecules are approximately 80 nucleotides in length. Their secondary structure includes four short double-helical elements and three loops (D, anti-codon, and T loops). Further hydrogen bonds mediate the characteristic L-shaped molecular structure. tRNAs have two regions of fundamental functional importance: the anti-codon, which is responsible for specific mRNA codon recognition, and the 3' end, to which the tRNAs corresponding amino acid is attached (by aminoacyl-tRNA synthetases). tRNAs cope with the degeneracy of the genetic code in two manners: having more than one tRNA (with a specific anti-codon) for a particular amino acid; and 'wobble' base-pairing, i.e. permitting non-standard base-pairing at the 3rd anti-codon position. RNAcentral also lists the same sequence under 1 other name. The record is from RNAcentral. Lineage: Bacteria; Bacillati; Bacillota; Bacilli; Lactobacillales; Lactobacillaceae.